RNAcentral lists this ribosomal RNA (468 nucleotides) under uncultured bacterium. Its description in RNAcentral is "partial 16S ribosomal RNA". It matches the Rfam family "Bacterial small subunit ribosomal RNA", at positions 28 to 507 of the family's 1533-position model. The record is from RNAcentral.
GACGAACGCUGGCGGCGUGCUUAACACAUGCAAGUCGAACGGAAAGACCCUGCUUUUGUGGGGUGCUCGAGUGGCGAACGGGUGAGUAACACGUGAGUAACCUGCCCUUGACUUUGGGAUAACUUCAGGAAACUGGGGCUAAUACCGGAUAGGAGCUCCUGCUGCAUGGUGGGGGUUGGAAAGUUUCGGCGGUUGGGGAUGGACUCGCGGCUUAUCAGCUUGUUGGUGGGGUAGCGGCUUACCAAGGCUUUGACGGGUAGCCGGCCUGAGAGGGUGACCGGCCACAUUGGGACUGAGAUACGGCCCAGACUCCUACGGGAGGCAGCAGUGGGGAAUAUUGCACAAUGGGCGGAAGCCUGAUGCAGCAACGCCGCGUGCGGGAUGACGGCCUUUGGGUUGUAAACCGCUUUCGCCUGUGACGAAGCGUGAGUGACGGUAAUGGGUAAAGAAGCACCGGCUAACUACGUG